CGGGUGGCGAACGGGUGAGUAACGCGUGAGGAACCUGCCUCAAAGAGGGGACGAACAGUUGGAAACGACUGCUAAUACCGCAUAAGCCCACGGGUCGGCAUCGACCUGAGGGAAAAGGAGCAAUCCGCUUUGAGAUGGCCUCGCGUCCGAUUAGCUAGUUGGUGAGGUAACGGCCCACCAAGGCGACGAUCGGUAGCCGGACUGAGAGGUUGAACGGCCACAUUGGGACUGAGACACGGCCCAG
This 244-nucleotide ribosomal RNA is filed under the name uncultured bacterium. Its description in RNAcentral is "partial 16S ribosomal RNA". It matches the Rfam family "Bacterial small subunit ribosomal RNA", at positions 92 to 334 of the family's 1533-position model. The record is from RNAcentral.